AACUGAUUAAGGCUGGCUGUGAUAACCACUGCCACCAUCACAAGGGAGUGAAGUGAAAGAAGACUCUCUCUCUCUCUCUCUCUCUCUCUCUCUCUGGGGCCGUGUCAGAUGAAAAUAGUUUGACGCAUUGUUAUUUAUACAUGUAGAGGAAGUCAAGAACCACUCUUAAAUCAUGGUUGGAAAAAAGUGUAAUCAUGAUUAUUUAAAUAGUUCAUGUCUCUUUAGCUGCUUAACAACCAACUGCCACUAGGUAAUUAGUUUCGUAACGACCCACGAACUGUAAUUGUUUAUCGACGCCAAUUAAGUCUGGAGUGGCCAUCGUGUGAUAGUUAAAACUAAAUACUCAUUAGCUGUCUAACAGUCAUCUAUCAUCACAUAAGUACGAAACGAGACAUUGAAACAGUGAACUAGUGAGACUGAAGCAGAGAACCCCACAGCUGAACCCUUAAUGCUUCGUAGUGGUCAGACAGGCUGGGCGAAGGACGGGAGGCGACCGUGGAGGGAGGAGGGAGUGGUGCAGCAGAGGGAAGACGCGAUACCCAGGCAAGGCGAGGCCGCUGUCAAGGCGUAGAGUGAGUGCUGGAUCAGCUGUGGGAGACCCUUCUUGCCAUAGGAGGACUGCUUCAUCAGCAGCUCUCGGACUUGCUUCUACAGGGAAAAUAAGUAUCAAUAGUUAAUCUCAUUCUUCGUAGUUUGUAUUUUAUAUUUUCAGUUUUGGAACUAAUGACUAGUAGAUGCAUGGAAAAUAGGAGGAAGUACACAUUUAUAUAGGGUAUAAAAAGAUCUGUUGAUAGAGGUAUUAACUACAUAAAUAGCUGUUGUGGAGGGAGGAGUUGACAUAAUUGGAAUAGGAAAAAAAGGGUCCAAUAGAUUAUGAUGUAAAAUAUUGUGUAAUGAAAUUUUCUUGUAGUUUGAAUUAA
Long non-coding RNA from Scylla paramamosain (green mud crab), 920 nucleotides. RefSeq lists it as uncharacterized. The transcript is spliced from 2 exons. Lineage: Eukaryota; Metazoa; Arthropoda; Malacostraca; Decapoda; Portunidae. The record is from RefSeq and is a predicted model, not a curated record.